UCCGAGCGGCUGUGCUGCUGGUAAGUUUUCCCCACCUGUCACUUCAAUGGCGGCAGGGAAGCUUGAGGCAAGUGUCGUGGAUGAAAACUUUUGGUAAAUUCGCUAAGGUUGCUGACUAUUUUCCUUAUACUGAUAAAUUUAUUAACUCGGUAAAGAUUUUACAAAAACUAGUUGGCUUUGAUUUGCUGAAUAAGUGAAAACGUUUUAAGUUGAGAAAAUUUGUUACUGGCCUGAGGAUGGAAGCUGUGUCAAAGAGGGGGGAAAUGGCAAAACGCUUAAGGACACUUAAAUAAGUAUGCUUGUGUGUGAGAGGCUGUUUUUCCUCCAUUGUUUGUUAGAUACAAAAGGGCUUUGGUUGAAAUGAUGCUGGGUUUUUUUAGGAUCACAGGCGUUUCAGAGGAAAAACUGUAAGGGUGUUGGGGAGACAGUGUGUGCUAGACUGUUCAAAUGGAAAUGGUUGCUGCCUCAGCUGUCUUACAGGGGGAGGGUUCUGAGGGAGGGAGAUAGCCAGGCUAUCUGUUCUCCAACCCCCACCAGGCCUACUAAAGCGGGUGCAAUGGAUCCUUGUGGAUUUUUUUUGGUCGGGGGGAACGUUGGACUAAAGCCCCUGUUUUGUUUUUCUCUGCCAGAAGAAGACGGGGGAUAGGGCCUUAUUGACAUUCCUGCCAGGGUACAGACUUUCUGUGUGCAGGCUGCUCAACGCUUGUUAUAUACCCGUGUACUCAGCUGGACGGUAACAGCUUGGGUUAUUACAUAACCCAUAACAUACAGUAAAACCUUGCUGAAUACUAACCUUCUGUCUUCUACGAGUGUCCGAUCCCGCUUGAGGGCUACUGGCUGCUUCAAGCUGGGCCAUUUAAAGAAAACAUUGAAAGAGAGAUUUCGGGAGUUGACUGGGUUUCAAUCGAUGAGGUUGCUGCACAGGCCAGUUAAAGGAGGUGAGCAGUACAUUACCAAUUCCAUACAGGGAGUUUGUGGAGGAUCCUACUCUGGCCGAGCAGUGGGAUGAUGACUGUGUAUACACCUUUCCACCAGUUGAUGUUUUUCCAGUGUUUGGGGAGUGGCAAGAAGACCCGAGCAGUCUUUUGACCCUUGGUGCCUCUUCCUUGGGACGUUUUGAAGAUUAUGUUAUGUUAUGUAGAGGUGUUACACCAGGGCUCAUUGAUGGGCUGUAAAAUAUCAAGAUGGACUUCUUGCUUUGGCCCAGAAUACUCUCCCAAAGGCUGCUGGCGCUGUAUAAACCCCCUGUGGAUAAGUGCACAGGGGACCUCCAGUGGAGGGUUGUGCAUGGAAUUAUAGCUACAAACAGGUAUCUGGCACACAUGUUUGGAGGUAGAUUAGUUGUUUUCUAAAUAAAAGUUUUUUCAAAUUCAAAUUCUCUCUCUCUCUCUCUCUCUUUCUCGUGUUACGUCUCCUUCCCCUCUGCAUCCAUGUUAGACUGGCCAUUUACAGUGUAGAUACCACAGUGGUAGGUGGUUGAUAUCCCUCCACGAGAGAGAGAGAACAAAACACAGAGGUCCACAGACAGAACAGAACACCAAAAAAACAGUGCUACCAGUUGGCAUGUAACACACUGGUAUGACUUUUCACAUUGUUCUCGAAUUGAGUCUAUCUCACAUGUUCUCCACAGAGAAACAAUGUUUUCUAGAGUUUUCAAAGUGUGGUUCAGAGCCCUGUGUGUCUGUCUACAGGUAAGGGAUAAUUUAUUGAAGACAACUAUAAUCAAGUGACUGUUUCAGAUGUGAAACAUAUACAGUACACUGUAUUUAACGUGUCAUAUAAUGAUAUAGAUUUACAAACUAAAUAACAAAAUAAAUAAUAUGAGAGAAUGACUAAUCAUGUUUUGUUCUCUCUGCAAUUGCAGAUCUUUGCAGUAGGUGAGUCUCUUAGUUGCACAUACUUCAAACUUAAGGCUUGGGAAGAAAAAGUAUGUAAUGUAUUAUGGAAGUUGAUAAAAGGUGGUGAGUAACAAAAUGUUACUAUUACCUCAACAGCUGCAAACAACACCAUGGACGGUAAGGUUGUAACACACAUGCAGUUAACGCCUUACCCCAAUCAAACUUCACUAAAACUUAGAUUGAGUCAGGUGUCAGGUUGGAAAAAUUGUUUUUUCUGGACCCUUCCCCAGUCUGAACAAAGGAUGACAAGUUAACUAUAGCUGCAUGUCAAAGGAUAACUGCUGGCUGUAUGAGGGUGUGGGAAUUAUAGUUUAGAGGAAAAGCAACUAUCAACUAUUAUACCCACAGGUUUAGGGUCAAUCUUGAUUGAGUUUGCCAACUCAAUCAAGCAAAUAAUUCACUGUUCCCAGCGUUCUUUGGAUGGUAUCCCUAUCUCCCACGGUGGAUUGCUUGUUAAUGUCUUUGUCUUUUUCUCGGCCCACUAUUUCCUCAAUGACUUCCUCUUCACUUAUAUUUCUUUUGCAAUCACUCAGUUCAAAUCAGUGGAAGCGGUGUACUGGAUUCAGGCACCUGGAAUUUAACAAAAACUAUCCAGCUUGAAGAUGCCUUCCAAACACUAAAUGGUGUUCAGUGCCUGAAAAUAACCUAUAGGUAAAUUUUUCUUUUUGUUUACAAUGACCAAUUUAUGAUUCAUAAAUUGUCAGUCAACUCAAAUCAGCAAUAAUAAUUCUCAUUGUAAGGAGAUAAAUUUGUGUUUUUAUAAAACAGGGACGCUUAUAGUAUAUAUACAGUAAAUACUUUUAAUGAUGUUGUUAAAAUGGGUACAUUAUUUGGACCUAACCAUUUACUGUUAAAUAAUCUUUAAACUUCAAAGACAAAACAACAGCAUUGUUGACUUUGAGGGAAAUGUCAGCGUCAUGUUUAACACUUCUGAGCUUCAACACAUAGUGAACGGACUGAAAACCAAACUCCAUGCUGUAAUUCAGGUCAACAUUUCAGGUUGGACUGGUCACCAUACUCUCCCCAAACACUACAGUGCACUACAAGUCCAGCCCUUCACUGAAAUGCACUUUUGGAGAGACUACUGACAGUGCUGGGUGGAACCUGAUCCAGAAAAAUCUGAGCUUUAAUCUAAUUUCUGGCAGUGUGGUCGAACUGAACCCCAGCUGUGCCACAUCAAAAUCUAGCUCUUGUACUGAAAUUACACUCCAGGAGGUGACGGGGGACUGGGUAGGCAAGUACCGUAUUUGUUUUUUUUUUUUGCUUUAGUGUAAAAAGAAAGAGUCUAUUCAAUCUUGAAUGCAAGUCUUUGGAACACAUUUUUUCUUUUGUAAAAGUUGGUUUACACCAGCAUGUGCUUCUUGUGCAAAACUGGUCAAGUCAUAGAUACAUCAUAAAUCCAAAGAUGAGUUAAAAGGGCCCUGUUAACUACAUCUCCACCCAACACAUGCUGCCUGUAUUCAGGUUGUCAGCCCCUUGUCUUGUAAGGCAGUACUGUAUCACAUAAAACCCGGAGUAUUGACCUAAUGGAAAAUUCUUUAGAUUUGGCACAAAUACCCAGGUUGAUUUAUUCCAAUUCCAAUUUUAGCACCUCAAA
Molecule: long non-coding RNA, 3495 nt
Organism: Betta splendens (Siamese fighting fish)
Lineage: Eukaryota; Metazoa; Chordata; Actinopteri; Anabantiformes; Osphronemidae
Exons: 3
Source: RefSeq, a predicted model, not a curated record